UACAGAGGGUGCAAGCGUUAAUCGGAGUUACUGGGCGUAAAGGGCACGUAGGCGGUUGAAUAAGUUAGUUGUGAAACCCCUGGGCUUAACCUGGGACCUGCAAUUAAAACUGUUGAACUAGAGUCGAAGAGAGGGAAGCGGAAUUUCCGGUGUAGCGGUGAAAUGCGUAGAUAUCGGAAGGAACAUCAGUGGCGAAGGCGGCUUCCUGGCUUCAGACUGACGCUGAGGUGCGAAAGCGUGGGUAGCGAACAGG
Molecule: ribosomal RNA, 253 nt
Filed under: uncultured bacterium
Lineage: Bacteria
Description: partial 16S ribosomal RNA
Rfam family: Bacterial small subunit ribosomal RNA
Source: RNAcentral